RNAcentral lists this ribosomal RNA (837 nucleotides) under Pleurocordyceps lanceolata. RNAcentral's name for it is "Pleurocordyceps sp. YX-2023b partial large subunit ribosomal RNA". It matches the Rfam family "Eukaryotic large subunit ribosomal RNA", at positions 79 to 933 of the family's 3401-position model. The record is from RNAcentral. Lineage: Eukaryota; Fungi; Ascomycota; Sordariomycetes; Hypocreales; Polycephalomycetaceae.
CCCAGUAACGGCGAGUGAAGCGGCAAGAGCUCAAAUUUGAAAUCUGGCCCCCCCCGCGGGGGUCCGAGUUGUAAUUUGCAGAGGAUGCUUCUGGCGCGGCGCCUUCCGAGUUCCCUGGAACGGGACGCCACAGAGGGUGAGAGCCCCGUCCGGUCGGACGCCCAGCCUGUGUGAAGCACCUUCGACGAGUCGGGUAGUUUGGGAAUGCUGCCCUAAAUGGGAGGUAUAUGUCUUCUAAAGCUAAAUACCGGCCAGAGACCGAUAGCGCACAAGUAGAGUGAUCGAAAGAUGAAAAGCACUUUGAAAAGAGGGUUAAACAGUACGUGAAAUUGUUGAAAGGGAAGCGCUCAUGACCAGACUUGGGCCCGGGGGAUCACCCGGCGUUCUUUCGCCGGGGCACUUCGCCGGCUGCCCAGGCCAGCAUCAGUUCGCGGCGGGGGACAAAGGCUUCGGGAACGUAGCUCCCUACGGGGAGUGUUAUAGCCCGCUGCGCAAUGCCCUGCCGCGGACUGAGGUUCGCGCUCUCCGCAAGGAUGCUGGCGUAAUGGUCAUCAGCGACCCGUCUUGAAACACGGACCAAGGAGUCGUCUUCGUAUGCGAGUGUUCGGGUGUCAAACCCCUACGCGUAAUGAAAGUGAACGCAGGUGAGAGCUUCGGCGCAUCACCGACCGAUCCUGAUGUUCUCGGAUGGAUUUGAGUACGAGCAUACGGGGCCGGACCCGAAAGAAGGUGAACUAUGCCUGUAUAGGGUGAAGCCAGAGGAAACUCUGGUGGAGGCUCGCAGCGGUUCUGACGUGCAAAUCGAUCGUCAAAUAUGGGCAUGGGGGCGAAAGACUA